RNAcentral lists this long non-coding RNA (1699 nucleotides) under Homo sapiens (human). RNAcentral's name for it is "HSALNT0220272". The record is from RNAcentral. Lineage: Eukaryota; Metazoa; Chordata; Mammalia; Primates; Hominidae.
GGAGAAAGUGGUUAUUACCAAGGCUGUGACUGGAAUGGUGUGCUUUCCUUGAAGGAAUCAAACUUGACUUACAAUUCCAAUGAAGGUCCCUUGGAAAAACUGGCCUCAUAUCUUUAUCUACACAGUCCCUGUACAGGGUUCCUGACUGUGAGUCACUGAAAACUAAGCUGUCCUUUCUUAAAGCCCUGUGAACUGAAGCCAGACAAACUUCAGAAGAAAAUAACAGCAAUCUAUUUACAUACAUAAGCCACUUUCAUACCUGACUACUGAUGUAUGGACUUGAGAGUAAUGUGGCCUAUAUUGAUUUUUCAGGAUUGUUCUUUUGUUGUUUUUCUCCCUUCCUCCCCCUAUUUUCUCUUCACAGGACACGAGACUUCAUAACCUGCUAAAAAUGAGCUUUCCUAAUAACUCGGGACUUACCCAUCUAGGAAUACACCAUCCUCGACAUGAGAGAUCAGAUGAAAUCUUAGACCAGAGAGAGACUCAUUUUAUUCUAAAACACUUUCUCCAAAAGAUUUUAAAAAGGGGAGAAAAUGUGAAUAGAAAAUACGCUGGGCCCCCGAAAUCACUAAGCUAAAGGGAAAAGUCAAGCUGUAACUGCUUAGGGCAAACCUGCCUUCCAUUCUAUUCAGUCACCCCUCUGCUCACUGAGACAGAUGCAUAUCUGUUUGCCUCCUUUGGAGAGGCUAAUCAGAAACUCAAAAGGAUGCAACCUUUUGUCUCUUAUCUACCUGUGACCUGGAAGCCCCUCCUUGCUUCGAGUUGUCUUGUUUUUGCUUCGAGUUGUCCUGCCUUUCUGGGCCAAACCAGUGUUUAUCUUACAUAUUUUGGUUGUGUCUCAUGUCUUCCUAAAAUGUGUAAAAUCAAGCUAUGCUCCAACCACCUUGGGCACAUAUCAUCUGGAGCUCCUGAAACUGUCAAAUGGGUGCAUGUCCUCGACUUUGGCAAAAUAAAAUUUCUAAAAUAACUGAGACCUAUCUCAAAUUUUGGGGGUUCACAAAAGCCACAGGGCUGGAGCUGCCUUAGGCCAUGGGAGCCCACCUCUUGCAUCAGUGUGACCUGGAUGUGAGACAUGGAUUCAAAGGAGAUCAUUUUGGAGCUUUAAGAAUUGACUGCCCUGCUGGAUUUUAGACUUGCAUGGGGCCUGUGGGCACUUUACUUUGGCCAAUUUCUCCCUUUUGGAAUGGGUGUAUUUACCCAAUCCCUGUACCCCCAUUGUAUCUAGGAAGUAACUAAUUUGCUUUUGAUUUUAUAGGCUCAGAGGAAGAAGGGACUUGCCUUGUCUCAGAUGAGACUUUGGACUGUGGACUUUUGAGUUAAUGCUGAAUUAAGACCUUGGGGGACUUAGAAAGGUUUUGAAAUGUAAGGACAUGAGAUUUGGGAGGGGCCAGGGGUGGAAUGAUAUGGUUUGGCUGUGUCCUCACCCAAAUUUCAUCUUGAAUUAUAGCUCCCAUAAUUCCCACAUGUCAUGGAAGGACCUAGUAGGAGGUAAUUGAAUCAUAGGGGUGGGUCUUUCCCAUGCUAUUCUCAUGACAGUGAAUAAGUCUCAUGAGAUCUGAUGGUUUUAAAGGGGGAGUUCCCUGCACACCUCUUAUGCCUGCCGCCAUGUAAGAUGUGCCUUUGCCAUGUAAGAUGUGCCAUGUCUCCUUUGUCUUCUGCCAUGAUUGUGAGGCCUCUGCAGUCAUGUGGAACUGUGAGU